GUGAGGAAUAUUGCGCAAUGGAGGCAACUCUGACGCAGCCAUGCCGCGUGCAGGAAGAAGGCGCUACGCGUUGUAAACUGCUUUUAACCGGGAAGAAACCCCAGGACGUGUCCUGGGUUGACGGUACCGGAGGAAUAAGCACCGGCUAACUUCGUGCCAGCAGCCGCGGUAAUACGAAGGGUGCAAGCGUUAUCCGGAUUCAUUGGGUUUAAAGGGUGCGUAGGCGGAGCGUUAAGUCAGUGGUGAAAUCCUGCAGCUUAACUGUAGACUUGCCAUUGAUACUGGCGCUCUUGAGUGCGCUUGAAGUGGGCGGAAUGUGCCGUGUAGCGGUGAAAUGCUUAGAUAUGGCACAGAACACCAAUUGCGAAGGCAGCUUACUGGAGCGCAACUGACGCUGAGGCACGAAAGCGUGGGGAUCGAACAGGAUUAGAAACCCUAGUAGUCC
This 445-nucleotide ribosomal RNA is filed under the name uncultured bacterium. RNAcentral describes it as "partial 16S ribosomal RNA". It matches the Rfam family "Bacterial small subunit ribosomal RNA", at positions 354 to 796 of the family's 1533-position model. The record is from RNAcentral.